This 67-nucleotide transfer RNA is filed under the name Conus calhetae. RNAcentral describes it as "tRNA-Val". The record is from RNAcentral. Lineage: Eukaryota; Metazoa; Mollusca; Gastropoda; Neogastropoda; Conidae.
AAAGAUGUAGUAUAAAAAAUACAUUUCAUUUACACUGAAAACAUAUUUAAAUGAUAAAUCGUCUUUA